Molecule: ribosomal RNA, 253 nt
Filed under: uncultured bacterium
Lineage: Bacteria
Description: partial 16S ribosomal RNA
Rfam family: Bacterial small subunit ribosomal RNA
Source: RNAcentral
UACGAAGGGGGCUAGCGUUGUUCGGAAUUACUGGGCGUAAAGCGCACGUAGGCGGACCGGUAAGUUAGAGGCGAAAUCCCAGAGCUUAACUCUGGAACUGCCUUUGAUACUGCCGGUCUUGAGGAUGAGAGAGGUAAGUGGAACUGCGAGUGUAGAGGUGAAAUUCGUAGAUAUUCGCAAGAACACCAGUGGCGAAGGCGGCUUACUGGCUCAUUUCUGACGCUGAGGUGCGAAAGCGUGGGGAGCAAACAGG